GGUAGCCGGCCUGAGAGGGNGACCGGCCACACUGGGACUGAGACACGGCCCAGACUCCUACGGGAGGCAGCAGUGGGGAAUAUUGSGCAAUGGANGAAACNCUGACCCAGCGACGCCGCGUGCGGGAUGAMGGCCUUCGGGUUGUAAACCGCUUUCAGCAGGGAAGAAGCGAAAGUGACGGUACCUGCAGAAGAAGCACCGGCUAACUAUGUGCCAGCAGCCGCGGUAAUACAUAGGGUGCAAGCGUUGUCCGGAAUUAUUGGGCGUAAAGAGCUCGUAGGUGGUUCGUCACGUCGGAUGUGAAACUCUGGGGCUUAACCCCAGACCUGCAUUCGAUACGGGCGANCUUGAGUNUGGUAGGGGA
Molecule: ribosomal RNA, 364 nt
Filed under: uncultured bacterium
Lineage: Bacteria
Description: bacterial SSU rRNA
Rfam family: Bacterial small subunit ribosomal RNA
Source: RNAcentral